UACAGAGGGGGCAAGCGUUGUUCGGAAUUACUGGGCGUAAAGGGCGCGUAGGCGGCCUGGUAAGUCGGCCGUGAAAUCCCCGGGCUCAACCCGGGAACUGCGUCCUAGACUGGCAGGCUCGAAUCCGGGAGAGGGAUGUGGAAUUCCAGGUGUAGCGGUGAAAUGCGUAAAUAUCUGGAGGAACACCGGUGGCGAAGGCGGCAUCCUGGACCGGCAUUGACGCUGAGGCGCGAAAGCCAGGGGAGCAAACGGG
This 253-nucleotide unclassified non-coding RNA is filed under the name uncultured Acidobacteriota bacterium. Its description in RNAcentral is "uncultured Acidobacteria bacterium contains 16S-23S intergenic spacer region". It matches the Rfam family "Bacterial small subunit ribosomal RNA", at positions 524 to 776 of the family's 1533-position model. Lineage: Bacteria; Pseudomonadati; Acidobacteriota. The record is from RNAcentral.